This 692-nucleotide long non-coding RNA is filed under the name Hordeum vulgare. RNAcentral describes it as "long non-coding RNA (HVUL_LNC016090)". The record is from RNAcentral. Lineage: Eukaryota; Viridiplantae; Streptophyta; Magnoliopsida; Poales; Poaceae.
GUUUUAGAUUAAAGCUGGUCUGGCAAGGCCCAACUUUGGUUCUACAUUUGCCCAACAUUAUAAUUUUGAUAAAUUGAAAUGCAUAGGGAGUUAGCGCUAUGGUGUUGGUCCCAAACGGUCUGCCUGCGGGGCCACCACGGGGAAACUCGAGGUUUCGCACUCGUAGCUAGUUCCAUCCGUCGGGUCCUAAGAACGAGAUACGCGGCUCCUAUCGGGUACGUCGACACGUCGGGCGUCCUUGCUGGAUUAGUUUUACCUUUGACGAGAUAUCUUGUGCAUCGGGAUUCCGGUGAUGCUUUGGGUAAACUCAGAGUUGAGGUUUUCCACUAGGGAAUCCGACGAGAUCGCGAGCUUCGUGAUUGAGGAUUUCUAUGCGGCUUGUGGUAAUUUGUGAUGGACUAGUUGGAGCACCCCUGCAGGGUUAAAUCUUUCGGAAAGCCGUGCCCGCGGUUAUGUAGCAACGUGGAAACUUUGUUUAACACUGGUUCUAGAUAACUUGAAGUUAACUUAAUUAAAACAUGCCAACUGUGUGCGUAACCGUGACUGUCUCUUUCGUGAGUUCUUUCUCCGAUCGAGGACACGGUGGGGUUAUGUCUGACGUAGGUAGGUGUUCAGGAUCAUUCAUUUGAUCAUCUGUAGUGACGUCCGUUAUGCGUAGAUCAUCCCCCUCUUUAUUCUUGUACUCGUAAGUU